This 170-nucleotide ribosomal RNA is filed under the name Naso thynnoides (oneknife unicornfish). Its description in RNAcentral is "partial 12S rRNA". The record is from RNAcentral. Lineage: Eukaryota; Metazoa; Chordata; Actinopteri; Acanthuriformes; Acanthuridae.
CACCGCGGUUAUACGAGAGACCCAAGUUGUUAGACACCGGCGUAAAGAGUGGUUAGGGAUACUCAUCCAACUAGAGCCGAACACCUUCAAAGCUGUUAUACGCACCCGAAGGUAAGAAGCCCAACUACGAAAGUGGCUUUAUGUUAACUGAACCCACGAAAGCUAGGACA